Molecule: ribosomal RNA, 460 nt
Filed under: uncultured bacterium
Lineage: Bacteria
Description: partial 16S ribosomal RNA
Rfam family: Bacterial small subunit ribosomal RNA
Source: RNAcentral
CCUACGGGUGGCAGCAGUGAGGAAUAUUGGUCAAUGGGCGAGAGCCUGAUCCAGCCAAGUCGCGUGAAGGAUGACGGCCCUACGGGCUGUAAACUUCUUUUGUCAGGGAGCAAUUGGGUCCACGCGUGGGCUUAGCGAGAGUACCUGAAGAAAAAGCAUCGGCUAACUUCGGGCCAGCAGCCGCGGUAAUACGGUGGAUGCGAGCGUUAUCCGGAUUUAAUGGGUUUACAGGGUGCGUAGGCGGAAUAUCAAGUCAGCGGUAAAAAUUCGGGGCUCAACCCCGUCGUGCCGUGGAAACUGAUGUUCUUGAGUGGGCGAGAGGUAUGCGGAAUGCGUGGUGUAGCGGUGAAAUGCAUAGAUAUCACGCAGAACUCCGAUUGCGAAGGCAGCUUGCUGCAGCGGAACUGACGCUGAUGCUCGAAAGCGCGGGUAUCGAACAGGAUUAGAUACCCCAGUAGUC